RNAcentral lists this transfer RNA (61 nucleotides) under marine eukaryotic metagenome. It matches the Rfam family "tRNA", at positions 8 to 63 of the family's 71-position model. Rfam says of the family: Transfer RNA (tRNA) molecules are approximately 80 nucleotides in length. The record is from RNAcentral.
CUUAGCUCAGCUGGUUAGAGCGGCGGACUGUUAAUCCGUAGGUCCAAGGUUCAAGUCCUUG